CCUACGGGGGGCAGCAGUGGGGAAUAUUGGACAAUGGGGGGAACCCUGAUCCAGCCAUGCCGCGUGUGUGAAGAAGGCCCUCGGGUUGUAAAGCACUUUCAGUGAGGAAGAACGCCUGGUGGUUAAUACCCAUCAGGAAAGACAUCACUCACAGAAGAAGCACCGGCUAACUCCGUGCCAGCAGCCGCGGUAAUACGGAGGGUGCGAGCGUUAAUCGGAAUUACUGGGCGUAAAGCGCGCGUAGGUGGCUUGAUAAGCCGGUUGUGAAAGCCCCGGGCUCAACCUGGGAACGGCAUCCGGAACUGUCAAGCUAGAGUGCAGGAGAGGAAGGUAGAAUUCCCGGUGUAGCGGUGGAAUGCGUAGAGAUCGGGAGGAAUACCAGUGGCGAAGGCGGCCUUCUGGACUGAAACUGACACUGAGGUGCGAAAGCGUGGGUAGCAAACAGGAUUAGAUACCCGAGUAGUC
This 465-nucleotide ribosomal RNA is filed under the name Vreelandella stevensii. Its description in RNAcentral is "partial 16S ribosomal RNA". It matches the Rfam family "Bacterial small subunit ribosomal RNA", at positions 338 to 795 of the family's 1533-position model. The record is from RNAcentral. Lineage: Bacteria; Pseudomonadati; Pseudomonadota; Gammaproteobacteria; Oceanospirillales; Halomonadaceae.